RNAcentral lists this transfer RNA (118 nucleotides) under Achromobacter xylosoxidans. Its description in RNAcentral is "tRNA-OTHER". It matches the Rfam family "tRNA". Rfam says of the family: Transfer RNA (tRNA) molecules are approximately 80 nucleotides in length. Their secondary structure includes four short double-helical elements and three loops (D, anti-codon, and T loops). Lineage: Bacteria; Pseudomonadati; Pseudomonadota; Betaproteobacteria; Burkholderiales; Alcaligenaceae. The record is from RNAcentral.
GAAGCGGUAGCUCAGCGGAAGAGCGCCCACAGAUUGGGAGGCUGGCAAUGCGUUGGAGUCGCGACCUGACGUAUCCAGACGGCGGCAGCCGGCGCGAGUUCGAAUCUCGCCCGCUUCU